This 219-nucleotide ribosomal RNA is filed under the name uncultured bacterium. RNAcentral's name for it is "partial 16S ribosomal RNA". It matches the Rfam family "Bacterial small subunit ribosomal RNA", at positions 112 to 334 of the family's 1533-position model. The record is from RNAcentral.
AACGCGUAGAAAUCUGCCUGGUAGUGGGGGAUAGCCCAGAGAAAUUUGGAUUAAUACCGCAUACGCCCUACGGGGGAAAGCAGGGGACCUUCGGGCCUUGCGCUAUCAGAUGAGUCUGCGUCGGAUUAGCUUGUUGGUGAGGUAAUGGCUCACCAAGGCGACGAUCCGCAGCUGGUCUGAGAGGAUGAUCAGCCACACUGGGACUGAGACACGGCCCAG